Molecule: ribosomal RNA, 453 nt
Filed under: Escherichia coli
Lineage: Bacteria; Pseudomonadati; Pseudomonadota; Gammaproteobacteria; Enterobacterales; Enterobacteriaceae
Also listed under: 1 other name
Description: partial 23S ribosomal RNA
Rfam family: Bacterial large subunit ribosomal RNA
Source: RNAcentral
UCCUGACUGACCGAUAGUGAACCAGUACCGUGAGGGAAAGGCGAAAAGAACCCCGGCGAGGGGAGUGAAAAAGAACCUGAAACCGUGUACGUACAAGCAGUGGGAGCACGCUUAGGCGUGUGACUGCGUACCUUUUGUAUAAUGGGUCAGCGACUUAUAUUCUGUAGCAAGGUUAACCGAAUAGGGGAGCCGAAGGGAAACCGAGUCUUAACUGGGCGUUAAGUUGCAGGGUAUAGACCCGAAACCCGGUGAUCUAGCCAUGGGCAGGUUGAAGGUUGGGUAACACUAACUGGAGGACCGAACCGACUAAUGUUGAAAAAUUAGCGGAUGACUUGUGGCUGGGGGUGAAAGGCCAAUCAAACCGGGAGAUAGCUGGUUCUCCCCGAAAGCUAUUUAGGUAGCGCCUCGUGAAUUCAUCUCCGGGGGUAGAGCACUGUUUCGGCAAGGGGGUCA